This 3937-nucleotide unclassified non-coding RNA is filed under the name Hevea brasiliensis (rubber tree). Lineage: Eukaryota; Viridiplantae; Streptophyta; Magnoliopsida; Malpighiales; Euphorbiaceae. The record is from RNAcentral.
AAAUAAUAUAUCCAAUAAUUAUUACUUAAUAUAUUUUAUAUUAAAAUUAUUUUAUAUUAAAUUAAAUUUUAAAGAUUUAUGUGAGAUAAAUUAAAUUUGAGGAGUGUGUGGUAUAUUUAUUGAAAUUGAGGGAUAAUAAGUGAAAUUUAGCCAUAAGUUAACUUAGAGACCUGUAAUAGCAGGUCACAGAGAAGUUUAGAGAUUUUUAUGAUAUAAAUUGAAGUUGAAAGAUGAUACUCACCUAAGUUGAGGGAUUAUGAGUGAAAUAAACCCCUAUUUCUUCUUGUAGUUCUUGUAAAUACUUUAAAAACUAACGCCUUAUCUCUUACAUGUGAAGAUUAUAUUCAAAUGAUAAUAAAUUGAAAGUAAAUUUAUCUUUAAUGAUUUAUUAAAAUUUAAUUUAAAAAGACGAAGUCUAAAGAAAAAACAUAGUUUGUAUAAACUUUUCUUAUAAUUUUGUAAAGCAACAUUAAUAAUAUAUUAUUUUAGUGAUUAACUAAUUACCAAUGAAAUAUUUAAAAUGGAAAAAUAUAAUGCAUGGUAGUAUUUUCAAUUAAACAUUUUCAUAAAUUGAGAAAUGACAAAUUAUGUUUUAUAUAUAUGUAAUAGUAGACUGAGUCAAAUAGAAACAAUACUUUUAGGCAUUCAGUAUAAAAAAGUGAGAGAAGUAUUAUUUUAGUUUAUUUAAAAUGAAGUAGAUAUUGGUUUCCACUUUCCAGAAAAAAGAAAGAUAUUAGAAAAUGAUAAUUAAUUGUAUUGAAUAACUUAGACUGAACAAACUUCCUAAUAUACUUUCAAUCAUAAAAAUGUCUGUUUCUUUUAAUUACAAUACAAUUCUAAGUCAAACUAUUAAAAAAGAGACAAGGCUUUAGUUAAAUGAGAGGAAAUUAAUUAGAACAAAAUAAGUGAGGAAUAAUGAAAUAUCAUCGACAUUUUAGAAAAUUGCACUCGUGAAUAGUGCAAUAGUGCAUGGGCCAUGUACUCUUUUUAUAUAGUAUAGAUGUAGAUAUGGAUAGAUAACAAUUUGUGUAAAAGUGUAAUUAUUUUUAAGUUAAUUAAUAAAGGAAUUAUUAGCAUAACAAAAACCCAAUAGUAUACAAAUGUUUGAUUAACCUUGUGACAAAAGUUGUUAAAAAUGGUAAUCUGUGAUAAAAUGAAUCAUAUUGGUAUUGUAAGAUUUCAAUGAAGUAUAAAUUAAAUGAAUAAAGACAAAACAUAAUAGGAAAUUACAAAAUUAUUUAAGGGUAUCAUAGGAAAUUCAAAAAUUUCAAGUUGUGAAUAGUGCAAGGGCCAUGUACUCUUUUUAUAGAGUAAUAGAUUACUCUUUUAGCUCUGCAUUGAAUUAGAAAACAAGCGUGUGAUGUUUGUGCACUGGGUCACCCAUUUUUUAUUAGAAGGAGAUUAAAAAAUAAUAAAAAUGUAACAGGCCAUAUGGACUGCUAUUGCAGCUUAUUCACGCUUUUGUAACUAUAGCUGAUCCUUAUGUGAUGUACUUUUUAUUUUCUUUUGCAAAAACGGCAAAGAUAUGUUGUCUGCUUAUUCAUUUUGCCUCAACGUGGCAAGUGACCUUCUAUGUCUUGCUCUCAGAUGCUUCCAUAAGACUGGCUAAAUGGGAUGCUUCAAAAGUGAGGGAGAAGCUUCGCCGUGAUAUUGAGACACAUGCCUCAUCUGUAUGCAAUUUGAAGUUGUCAGAAAUGAUAAAAAAAUAUGAGAAACAACUCGCUGGCGCACUUACUGAACCUGUAGAAUCUCUAUUUGAAGCUGGUGGGAGAGACACAUGGGUUUCAAUAAGAGGACUUCUUAAACGUGAGACAGAGGUUGCUGUAUCAGGAUUGUUAGCUGAUUUUGCUAGUUUUGAGUUGGAUAGGUCUACAAUUGACACAAUGGUACAAAAUAUGAGGGAUUAUGCAAGAAAUGUAGUAGAGAGAAAAGCAAGAGAAGAAGCAGGGAAAGUUCUGAUUCGCAUGAAGGAUAGGUUCUCAGCAGUUUUCAAUCACGACAAUGAUUCAAUGCCAAGGGUUUGGACUGGAAAAGAAGACAUAAGAACAAUUACAAAGGAUGCACGCUCUGCGUCUUUGAAACUUCUGUCGGUCAUGGCAGCCAUACGCUUGGAUGAGAAGCCAGACAAAAUUGAGAAUGUACUUUUUUCCUCUCUAAUGGAUGGGUCUGUUGCUGUUUCAUCUUCUCAAGAUAGAAGUGUUGGAGCUACUUCAGAUCCCCUUGCAUCAAGCACAUGGCAAGAGGUUUCUCCAAAAGAUACACUAAUUACUCCAGUUCAGUGCAAGUCAUUAUGGAGGCAGUUUAAAACAGAAACUGAGUAUGCAGUUGCUCAAGCAAUUUCAGUUCAGGAGGCUAAUAAACGAAGCAACAACUGGUUACCCCCUGCAUGGGCAAUUGUAGCGAUGAUUGUCCUAGGCUUUAAUGAAUUCAUGCUUCUAUUAAAGUAACUACUGCUGACUGAAAGUCUCAACUCCUAAGUCCUCAUUGCAAUUAAAAGAAAAUCUGUAUUUUAUUUCAUGUCCUUGUUUUUCAUCCAGUCGGGAUAUCCAAUUGAUUACAUGUCUUUUAUUGAAUCAGGAAUCCUCUUUACCUCAUGAUUCUGUUCAUUGUUUUUUUACUUUCAAAGGCCUUAUGGGUACAAAUGGACAUCGCAGGAGAGUUCCGUAAUGGCACUGUAAGAAAGUUUGGCUUUCGAAUGCAUAUUAUUGUUUUCUCAAAUACUAAAUUCAACUGUUUUAGCAGACUACAAUGGAAUAAAAUUGUCAUUUAUUACUCGAUUGAAUAUACAUUUCAUUGCAUUGUAUUUUGUUGCAGCAAGUCCUGUCAAAUGUGCUCUUAUACUAUGUGGAUCAUUGCACACAUCUCAUAGGAGCAAGCACAAGUUUUUCCUUAAUUUGUUGCUCCUUGUAUGUUUAAAUGUAUAACACCACCUUUUCUCAAUUUGAAUGCUGACCCAUGUUCCAGCAAGUGUUCUAAAAGCAGGACUGGACCAAACAAUUGAACUGGUUAAACCAGGAACUGGAACGACAUUCUGUCAAGUUUGAUUUUGUUUUCAAUUUUUACUUUAAAAGCAACUAAUAAUUCUUUAAAAAAAAAUUGAACCAGUUGAACUAAUUGAAGUAUUGACCUGGUCAGUGGUUGGUCCGGUUUAAAAAGCGUUGAUCCCAACCAAAUUCCAGUAUUGCAAAUUAGUUGUCAGUUAAAUGUUUCAGGCCAUUUAGCAUACUGCUGACACUUUUGUAUGAUUAUUAUGAGGCAAACGGCUUGUAAUCUGAAAGUGAGUUUGUAAUUUAACUCUGGUUGCGAGGACAGAAAUGGAUACCAGAGUUUCAUAUGAUAGUGAAAAUGCUGUUGAAGUUGUACUCUUAUUUAAGGUCUUUGAUGAUCAAUUUCUCUUUUUCUAUUCGCAGAUACAGUGUCUUAUUUCUUUGUUUUAACAGUUGGCUGGGAUACUUUCCAUUUCUUCAAGGUUCCUUCCUACCCUUAUGAAUCUUCUAAGGCGACUUGCUGAAGAGGCUCAAGGGCAUCCAGCUUCUGAAGCUCCAAGAACACAUUCACUGGUUUCUCACAGUUUCAAGAAUGAAACUCAGCGAAAUCCAAUAUCAAGUGCGAUACCCGAGUCUUCUGUAUCCUCCAAUGUUUCAUCAUCGGAUGAUGGUGUUGAAAUCUCAAGUCCAAAACUUGACACACAGGAGAAGUGAAAAAAUUCCGUAGGGAAAAUUUUCUUCAUAGGAACGGAAUUGUAUAAAAUAUGUAUUCAAGCUAGGAAAUUGCUUGGGCAGUGCUUUUCUUUUUUGUCUGCAGAUAGAAAGUUAAUGCGGGGUGAGGGGAAGACUGAGAAGUCUGUACUCUUCUACAGGCUUAUGUGAUAAAUAAGUUUCAGUCUCGGCUUGCAUUUAUGUGUAAUUAAGGAAUUCUUUGUGUUAGAAGUAUGGGG